AUUCCACCAAUUGGUUUCACACUAAGGAUUCAAUGGAGUGUUAGAUAACAGUCCGGUUAUGUAACCCUGCACUCAUCAGAGGUAGCCGAUAUGGAAUGAAA
Long non-coding RNA from Octopus sinensis (East Asian common octopus), 101 nucleotides. RefSeq lists it as uncharacterized. NCBI's taxonomy places the organism in Eukaryota, Metazoa, Mollusca, Cephalopoda, Octopoda, Octopodidae. The transcript is spliced from 3 exons. The record is from RefSeq and is a predicted model, not a curated record.